GCAGUACACCGGAUGCACUGGAGCUUGCUCCUUGAUUCGUCGGCAGUACGGGUGAGUAAUGCCUAUGCAAUCUGCCUGGUCUGUGGGGGACAACGUUUCCAAAGGAACGCUAAUACCACAUACGUCCUACAGGAGAAAGCAAGGGACCUUCAGGCCUUGCGCUAUCACAUGAGCCUAAGUCGAAUUAGCUAGUUCGUGAUGUAAUGGCUCACGUACGCCACGAUCCCUAACUGGUCUGAGACGAUGAUCAUUCACACUGGAACUGAGACACGAGUCCCGACUCCUACGGCAGGCAGCAGUGGGGAAUAUUGAACAAUGAGCCAAAGCCUGAUCCAGCCAUACCGCGUGUGUGAAGAAGGUCUUCGGAUUCUAAAUCACUUUAAGUUGGGAUGAAGGGCAAUAACUUAAUACCUUGCUCUUUUGACGUUACCGACAGAAUAAGCACCGGCUAACUCUGUGCCAUCAGCCCGGUAAUACCGAUGGUGCAGGCGUUAAUCUGAAUUACUGUUCCUAAAGCGC
RNAcentral lists this ribosomal RNA (519 nucleotides) under Pseudomonas putida. RNAcentral describes it as "bacterial SSU rRNA". It matches the Rfam family "Bacterial small subunit ribosomal RNA", at positions 57 to 568 of the family's 1533-position model. The record is from RNAcentral. Lineage: Bacteria; Pseudomonadati; Pseudomonadota; Gammaproteobacteria; Pseudomonadales; Pseudomonadaceae.